This is a non-coding RNA of Mycena capillaripes, 85 nucleotides long. Lineage: Eukaryota; Fungi; Basidiomycota; Agaricomycetes; Agaricales; Mycenaceae. The record is from the annotation of a GenBank genome assembly.
UCCCUCUUAACUCAGUUGGUAGAGUGCGUCACUCGUAUAAAUGUUACACAUGACGAAGUCAGUCGUUCAAAUCGGCUAGCGGGAA